UGGCACGGGGCGGGCGUGCUAUACAUGCAAGUCGAACGCUUUGUGGUUCAACUGAUUUGAAGAGCUUGCUCAGAUAUGACGAUGGACAUUGCAAAGAGUGGCGAACGGGUGAGUAACACGUGGGAAACCUACCUCUUAGCAGGGGAUAACAUUUGGAAACAGAUGCUAAUACCGUAUAACAAUGACAACCGCAUGGUUGUUAUUUAAAAGAUGGUUCUGCUAUCACUAAGAGAUGGUCCCGCGGUGCAUUAGCUAGUUGGUAAGGUAAUGGCUUACCAAGGCGAUGAUGCAUAGCCGAGUUGAGAGACUGAUCGGCCACAAUGGGACUGAGACACGGCCCAUACUCCUACGGGAGGCAGCAGUAGGGAAUCUUCCACAAUGGGCGAAAGCCUGAUGGAGCAACGCCGCGUGUGUGAUGAAGGGUUUCGGCUCGUAAAACACUGUUGUAAGAGAAGAAUGACAUUGAGAGUAACUGUUCAAUGUGUGACGGUAUCUUACCAGAAAGGAACGGCUAAAUACGUGCCAGCAGCCGCGGUAAUACGUAUGUUCCAAGCGUUAUCCGGAUUUAUUGGGCGUAAAGCGAGCGCAGACGGUUAUUUAAGUCUGAAGUGAAAGCCCUCAGCUCAACUGAGGAAUUGCUUUGGAAACUGGAUGACUUGAGUGCAGUAGAGGAAAGUGGAACUCCAUGUGUAGCGGUGAAAUGCGUAGAUAUAUGGAAGAACACCAGUGGCGAAGGCGGCUUUCUGGACUGUAACUGACGUUGAGGCUCGAAAGUGUGGGUAGCAAACAGGAUUAGAUACCCUGGUAGUCCACACCGUAAACGAUGAGUGCUAGGUGUUUGAGGGUUUCCGCCCUUAAGUGCCGCAGCUAACGCAUUAAGCACUCCGCCUGGGGAGUACGACCGCAAGGUUGAAACUCAAAGGAAUUGACGGGGACCCGCACAAGCGGUGGAGCAUGUGGUUUAAUUCGAAGCAACGCGAAGAACCUUACCAGGUCUUGACAUCCCUUGACAACUCCAGAGAUGGAGCGUUCCCUUCGGGGACAAGGUGACAGGUGGUGCAUGGUUGUCGUCAGCUCGUGUCGUGAGAUGUUGGGUUAAGUCCCGCAACGAGCGCAACCCUUAUUACUAGUUGCCAGCAUUCAGUUGGGCACUCUAGUGAGACUGCCGGUGACAAACCGGAGGAAGGUGGGGAUGACGUCAAAUCAUCAUGCCCCUUAUGACCUGGGCUACACACGUGCUACAAUGGCGUAUACAACGAGUUGCCAACCCGCGAGGGUGAGCUAAUCUCUUAAAGUACGUCUCAGUUCGGAUUGUAGGCUGCAACUCGCCUACAUGAAGUCGGAAUCGCUAGUAAUCGCGGAUCAGCACGCCGCGGUGAAUACGUUCCCGGGUCUUGUACACACCGCCCGUCACACCAUGAGAGUUUGUAACACCCAAAGCCGGUGGGGUAACCUUCGGGAGCCAGCCGUCUAAGGUGACAGAAUGGG
RNAcentral lists this ribosomal RNA (1488 nucleotides) under Weissella confusa. RNAcentral describes it as "bacterial SSU rRNA". It matches the Rfam family "Bacterial small subunit ribosomal RNA". Lineage: Bacteria; Bacillati; Bacillota; Bacilli; Lactobacillales; Lactobacillaceae. The record is from RNAcentral.